CGUUGAAACACCGGCUCUCAUAUGGUCACUGAAGCUAAGCAACUUCGAACCUGAUCAGUACCUAGAUGGGUAACCGGUUGGAAAUACCAGGUGCUGUAAG
Acanthosepion pharaonis is the source of this 100-nucleotide non-coding RNA. Lineage: Eukaryota; Metazoa; Mollusca; Cephalopoda; Sepiida; Sepiidae. The record is from the annotation of a GenBank genome assembly.